GGGAUCUAUGGGGCAGCGGGGAUCUAUGGGGAUCUAUGGGGCAGUGGGGAUCUGUGGGGCAGCGUAGAUCUAUGGGGCAGCGGGGAUUUACGGGGAUCUAUGGGGCAGGGGGGAUCUAUGGGGCAGCGGGGAUCUAUGGGAAUCUAUGGGGCAGUGGGGAUCUGUGGGGCAGCGGGGAUCUAUGGGGAUCUAUGGGGCAGCGUGGAUCUAUGGGGAUCUAUGGGGCAGCGUGGAUCUAUGGGGCAGUGUGACCUUGAAGCGUCCGGUGAAGAGCUCCAUGUGCGCGGCCGUGUCGUGCAGCGCGUACAGAGCACGCAGCGCCCGCACGCAGCGCAGCCGCACCAACGACACCUGCACCAGGGAACACCAGGAACACCACGAUCACCACCAUCACCACCAUCACCAGGAUCACCACCAUCACCACCAUCACCACCAUCACCACCAUCACCAGGAUCACCAGGGACACCAGCAACACCAGGAUCACGAGGAUCACCACCAUCAUCAGGAUCACCACCAUCAUCAGGAUCACAAGGAUCACCACCAUCACCAGGGACACCAGGAUCACCAGGAUCACCACCAUCACCAGGAUCACCGCCAUCACCACCAUCACCAGGGACACCAGGAUCACCAGGAUCACCACCAUCAUCAGGAUCACCAGGAUCACCACCAUCACCACCAUCACCAGGAUCACCACCAUCACCACGGACACCAGGGACAGCAGUAUCACCAGGGACACCAGCAACACCAGGAUCACCAGGAUCACCACCAUCAUCGGGGACACCAGGAUCACCAGGACACCAAUAUCACCAGGGUCACCAGGGACACCAGGGUCACCAGUGACA
RNAcentral lists this long non-coding RNA (842 nucleotides) under Numida meleagris (helmeted guineafowl). RNAcentral describes it as "lncRNA (ENSNMEG00000000883.1)". The record is from RNAcentral. Lineage: Eukaryota; Metazoa; Chordata; Aves; Galliformes; Numididae.